GCUGGGUUCAGAACGUCGUGAGACAGUUCGGUCCCUAUCCGUCGUGGGCGUAGGAAAUUUGAGAGGAGCUGUCCUUAGUACGAGAGGACCGGGAUGGACAUACCUCUGGUGUACCAGUUGUCGUGCCAACGGCAUAGCUGGGUAGCUAUGUAUGGACGGGAUAAGUGCUGAAAGCAUCUAAGCAUGAAGCCCCCCUCAAGAUGAGAUUUCCCAACUUCGGUUAUAAGAUCCCUCAAAGAUGAUGAGGUUAAUAGGUUCGAGGUGGAAGCGUGGUGACACGUGGAGCUGACGAAUACUAAUCGAUCGAAGACUUAAUCAAUUU
This 322-nucleotide ribosomal RNA is filed under the name Corynebacterium kefirresidentii. RNAcentral's name for it is "bacterial LSU rRNA". It matches the Rfam family "Bacterial large subunit ribosomal RNA", at positions 2604 to 2925 of the family's 2925-position model. Lineage: Bacteria; Bacillati; Actinomycetota; Actinomycetes; Mycobacteriales; Corynebacteriaceae. The record is from RNAcentral.